AUACCCUAUUAUUUUUAUUGUAAAUUUAAAUUAAACUAAAGUAUUAAUAGAUAAGAUCUUAAAACUUAAAGAAUUUGGCGGUAUUAUAGUCUAUUUAGAGGAAUCUGUUAUGUAAUCGAUAGUCCACGUUGAACCUUACUUAUAUAAUUUCUUGUAUAUCGCUGUUUAAGAAAAUAUUUUAAGAUAAUUAUCUGAAUAUUACAGUAAUUAAUAUUUCAAGUCAAGGUGCAGUAAUAUAUAAGUUGAAUAAUGGAUUACAAUAAAAUUUAUUUAAAACGGAUAAAUAAUUGAAAUGUUAUUUGAAGGUGGAUUUAAAAGUAAUUUUGUAAAGAUUAUAAAAAUGAUUUUUAGCUCUAUAAUAUGUACACAUCGCCC
RNAcentral lists this ribosomal RNA (375 nucleotides) under Miomantis sp. MN181. RNAcentral's name for it is "partial 12S ribosomal RNA". Lineage: Eukaryota; Metazoa; Arthropoda; Insecta; Mantodea; Mantidae. The record is from RNAcentral.